GACGAACGCUGGCGGCGUGCCUAAUACAUGCAAGUCGAACGAAGCUGUUUUAACUGGUGCUUGCACCGACUUAAACAACUGAGUGGCGAACGGGUGAGUAACACGUGGGUAACCUGCCCCAAAGCGGGGGAUAACAUUUGGAAACAGAUGCUAAUACCGCGUAACCACAGAAACCACAUGGUUUCUGUGUCAAAGAUGGUUUCGGCUAUCACUUUGGGAUGGACCCGCGGCGUAUUAGCUGGUUGGUAAGGUAAUGGCUUACCAAGGCAAUGAUACGUAGCCGAACUGAGAGGUUGAUCGGCCACAAUGGGACUGAGACACGGCCCAUACUCCUACGGGAGGCAGCAGUAGGGAAUCUUCCACAAUGGGCGCAAGCCUGAUGGAGCAACACCGCGUGAGUGAAGAAGGGUUUCGGCUCGUAAAACUCUGUUGUUAAAGAAGAACGUAUCUAAGAGUAACUGCUUAGGUAGUGACGGUAUUUAACCAGAAAGCCACGGCUAACUACGUGCCAGCCGCCGCAGUAA
Molecule: ribosomal RNA, 524 nt
Filed under: uncultured bacterium
Lineage: Bacteria
Description: partial 16S ribosomal RNA
Rfam family: Bacterial small subunit ribosomal RNA
Source: RNAcentral